Non-coding RNA from Taeniopygia guttata (zebra finch), 341 nucleotides. The record is from RefSeq and is a predicted model, not a curated record. NCBI's taxonomy places the organism in Eukaryota, Metazoa, Chordata, Aves, Passeriformes, Estrildidae.
AGAAAUUAUGAACCAUAUGCACAAAUAUUUUCCAGGAUAGUGGCAACUUCCAUGUAGUUUAAUUAUAAAAUAUCCUGUUGCUCAUACUUCUUUUGCACUUCCCUAGGCAUCUUUCACGGUCACAAUUAGAGAAGCAAUAGAGAUAUUAUCUGGAAUUUCCUGCUCCUGAAAUCCUGGAAAAAUCCACUUGGCUGGAAUGAAGAACGUAUAAAAUUAUUAUUUGCCCUUAGCACAGUAGCAGACAAUGCAUGAGAUUUGAGGGCUGAGAAUUUUGAAUCUCUCUCUCUCAUCUUAUUUAUCUGGGAUAUAAUCUUAAUUGCCACACUCUCAACAGAUCUAGU